RNAcentral lists this long non-coding RNA (1952 nucleotides) under Manihot esculenta (cassava). Its description in RNAcentral is "long non-coding RNA (MESC_LNC004409)". Lineage: Eukaryota; Viridiplantae; Streptophyta; Magnoliopsida; Malpighiales; Euphorbiaceae. The record is from RNAcentral.
AGAAGAAGUGGUCUCAUCUAGAGAAACAGCAAUCUGGUUAACAAAAAGUCUCAUGUCACAACAUAAAUUUAAUGGAGGGACCUAAACUUCAGGUGAUUGCUGCUAAUUUAUUGUUAGUAAAAAUAUGUAUGUAUAAAUUUUGUUGGCAUAAAAAUGAUUUCUUAGAGAGUGUUGUUUGAUUGAAGGGCAUAACUUAUAAACAUAUUUUUCUGAUUGUUUUAUUCUCUACUUGCUUUGAUGCUGAAUAAACUUGCCCUUUCUUUUCUCAAAUCAUUUGUAUGAAUGUGGGAAAUAUGUGGCCAACAGGGUAUAUGUCAAAAUUCUUUUUUCUUGGUAACAUUGGAAAUUUCUGUAUGAAAGAAGGUUGCAGAGGAUCAAACUUUGGACCAUCCGCACUUAAUCAUUUGAUUAUUUUUCCCAAAACUUGCAUUUGUGAGUAAUAUAUUUGGGUUUAAAGCCCUACGCACCCUGCAUCUGAAGAUUCAUAAAUCCCUCCUGCAUAUUUUAAAACUUUCCUAGAUCUUCCUCGUGGCAUCCUAGUUAAGAGAGAUAAAUUAAACAAGUAUGGUUGCCUUCUAUUAGGUUAUCUUAUUAAACUUAUGGUUGGGGCUAUCUGCUGAGACUUAUGGUAAGGCAAUUUAUGAAUGUCUUUAUGGUGGACUUGAUUUUAUCAAAGACAAUGAAAAUGUGAUUAUUCUGAGCCACAAACACUUCUCAGCAUUUCCAUCUGCACUAAUGAUAGAAAAGGUAUGAUUCAGAAAAAAACAGGAAAAUGGACUACUACUGUGAUAAGAACAGCAUAAUGGGGCAAUAUAUUUUUUUUUUUUGUUAGACAAGUGAGUUCUCAUUAUUCAUUUGCAGUAAUAUGUCAUGUCAUGUCCUGACCCUUCAGCAUUUGAUGUCAGAUUCUUCCAUUGUACAUAGGAUGCACCCCCAUUAGACACCAGAUCCUGUAACAUAGGAUACCUAUCUUGAACCAGAAACCAUAUUGAACGGACAAAAAAAAUACUCCGAAUGAAUAAUGAUAAUAACUAAAUGAGUAAAUUCUGGUUAUGGGAAGGUUUUCUUUCUUUAUCAGAAGAAGCAGGAGAGUGCAUAUCAGAAAAGUUUUUCCAUGAUGUUAAUCUACUGCAACAGAAAUUAAAGAAACAAAUGAGGAAGAAAAAUUCUGGAAGAAACUGAAAAUUUUCCCAGCAGUCAGACAGAUACAUAAUCAUCAACUGUUAUUCUCUUUCAAUUUCCACAUUCAUUUCUAUCUUACAAAUACAAUACAAUAAUUAAUAUGUACAUAUAUGUAUAUACGAUUAUCCUGUCAUCUCCUUCACUGUUAGUCAGCUUAUUGCAUAUAAAAGGCAAAGAAAGACAAAAGGGAAGCUCCGAUCAAAGAUCCGAUAACUGGGUAGAUAUCAGCAGCUCCGCUGGCCGGGGAUGGAGCAGAAGCGGAACCUGAAGGGCCCUCAGCGGCGGUUGCUGUAGGGCCCUCAGCGGGGGUUGGUGUAGGGCUCUCGGCGUGUGCUGUCAAGGCUGCGGUCAUGGAGAUAGCAACAAGGAGGACAGCAAAGGAGAUCUUCUUCAUGUCCAUGAUGAAAAUGGAGGCCUAGGCGUGCCUUGGAGAUGAAGGAAAGUUUUAUUUAUUUUAUUUUUUAAAAAAUUUUGAAAUUUAAAAAAUAAAAUAAUAUUUUUUUUUUUUAGGUAUGAAGAAGAAAUGGUAAUGGGAAUUUAUAAAAGAUCAUUUUAUGGCUAAAUUUAGAAUAUUAUAAAAAAAGGGUUGAUUUGAGUUAUUCAAAGGUUGCUAAUUUUGAAUGGUGGGGAGGAAUUUGCAAGAGAUUUAUGGUGCAAAAAGAUUCAACUUGAAUCAAUCAAUCAAAGUCUAUUUGAAGUUCUUUCAUUGAGCUUAAGAUAUCAAAACAUCAUAAAUAAAAAAAAUUUUAAAAAAAUCAGAAGAAAAAACU